AAAAAGGCAAACCCUAUGUUUCCGUGUCAACGUUUGACUGUUCGUCUUAUAUGAAAUUUUGUUAUAAUUAGUAUUUUUAUUAUUGUUAGAUGAUAAAACAUGAUUAAUACUUUAUGCGUGACUUGUUUUUCUAAUUUUUUUUAUAUUUUUUUUAAAUAAGACGGAUGGUCAAACGUUGGACAUGGAAACCAGGGUUUGUCUUUUU
MicroRNA precursor from Oryza rufipogon (brownbeard rice), 205 nucleotides. It matches the Rfam family "MIR812 microRNA precursor family". Lineage: Eukaryota; Viridiplantae; Streptophyta; Magnoliopsida; Poales; Poaceae. The record is from Rfam.